Molecule: long non-coding RNA, 637 nt
Filed under: Chinchilla lanigera (long-tailed chinchilla)
Lineage: Eukaryota; Metazoa; Chordata; Mammalia; Rodentia; Chinchillidae
Description: lncRNA (ENSCLAG00000023594.1)
Source: RNAcentral
CGCGCACGGGUGCAGGUCGCCCGCGGGGCGCGGGGCUGGGCCUCACCGCCCGCAGCCCGGGAGCAGAGAGUGGCCCGGAGCGAGGGAGGUGGGCAGGCAAGCGGGCGAAGACAAAUCUCGGUUCCCACAGACGCAGAAAUCAGCCGCAGCGCCGAAGCCAGCCUCAUGCUGCCUGGUUUUUAAAACUACAUUUGCUUCAAUAGCGUAUUUUAGCAAGGGAGUAGGAGGUACAUCUUCUGGGCUCGGAUUUUUUGAAGGCUGUCUGAAGUAAGGGGAGCAGAGAGCACAGGGCGGGCAAAGGAGGGCAGAAAGAAAGGCUGGCCCCUCUCCUUUGCCCCUCCUCAAGUGGAAGAAUCCAUCCAGCAGGCAGGUCCACAUCGCUGAAGGUUUAACUUUUUUUCUUUGCAGCUUGUCAAUGCGACCAUUGCUUUGAUGGGACGCUCCUCAAGACUGGAGUCUUCCCAGGCAGGUGCUCGGACCCCCACCACCCCCCCGCCCAUGCCAGCUCUGACCAGCUCUGACCAGGUCUCUCCUCCGUCUGGAAGUUCUUCUUUGCCUCCCAGGCUCUGCCUCCGUCGGAGGUCUGCACCCAUCAGUCAUCACCUAUAACUUCAAGGAGCACAUUUCACCUAGGAAG